CAGCCGCCGCGGUAAUACCAGCACCCCGAGUGGUCGGGACGUUUAUUGGGCCUAAAGCAUCCGUAGCCGGUUCUACAAGUCUUCCGUUAAAUCCACCUGCUUAACAGAUGGGCUGCGGAAGAUACUAUAGAGCUAGGAGGCGGGAGAGGCAAGCGGUACUCGAUGGGUAGGGGUAAAAUCCGUUGAUCCAUUGAAGACCACCAGUGGCGAAGGCGGCUUGCCAGAACGCGCUCGACGGUGAGGGAUGAAAGCUGGGGGAGCAAACCGGAUUAGAUACCCGGGUAGUCCCAGCUGUAAACGAUGCAGACUCGGUGAUGAAUUGGCUUGUGGCCAACGCAGUGCUGCAGGGAAGCCGUUAAGUUUGCCGCCUGGGAAGUACGUACACAAGUAUGAAACUUAAAGGAAUUGGCGGGGGAGCAC
This 420-nucleotide ribosomal RNA is filed under the name uncultured Nitrososphaerota archaeon. RNAcentral's name for it is "bacterial SSU rRNA". It matches the Rfam family "Archaeal small subunit ribosomal RNA", at positions 459 to 879 of the family's 1478-position model. Lineage: Archaea; Thermoproteati; Nitrososphaerota. The record is from RNAcentral.